UUAGCUCAGUGGUCUUGCUGCCUGCUGUGCAAGCACAAGGACCUGAGUUCAAUCCCCGGUACCAAAAAAAAAAAAAUUCUGCAUUCUACGCCUAGCCAUUCAUUCAUUCAUUCAUUCAUCAGUUCAGAAAGCAGCAUUGCACACCUGGUGUCAGAUUCUGACUAACAGUGUGAGAUCUGGGGCCUGCCAUCCAGAGGUUCUGGGUCUCUGAGGAGAGACACAGGGGGUCUUUCAGCACAGCAUGAGGCAUGGUGUCAUAGGAUGUGGAGAGGUGCAGGGACCCCAGCUCUAGAUACAUCCUGGGUGUCAUUGGGAGCUUAGCUAGGCAGAUUUAGAGAGAGCAGUGCAAUCUUUUGCUCCUGUUCUGGUUUUCCCAGAGGCUGAGCAGAUGCUCUUGGGCUUGUGGCACCUAGAACUGCUUUUCCUGGAAGUUGCUCCUCUUGUAAGCCACCAGCUUCAGGCUCCAUGUUAGAGCACAGAGAAUGGACUAAGACCCCAGCUGUCCCCACAAGGCUCCCAGGUAUCUGCAGCAGGAAGCCCUGCACCUCCUAGCCUAUAGCUUCCUCAUGUCAGGGUGAACACUACAGCCGAUCCUUUGGAGUCCUGGUCAGUGCUCUUCUCUGUACCCCGCACCCAGCUCCAGGGAACCUUCCAAUCCACCUCCAGAACAGACCUAGAACCUGCUGUCCUCACAGCUCAUGCUGUCUGGCCACCUGGACCAUGGCAGGGCCUCCUGACCCUGAAACAUCUGCUCAACUUGCUGCCAGCGGUGGGGUCCCUUCACAACCACAGCCUCAGCCAGGACCCUGCACCUCUGCUCCAAACUCCUGUGAGGCCUUGGAGCUCUGACCCAGGCUUGUGUGUCCUCACUGAAUUUCCACUCACUUGGGCUUUGAUGUCCCUAGUGGCCAUGUCUGCUGAACCGAGGAGGAGGUCCUGAGGGUCCCUCUUUCACUAGGAGAAGGAAACAAAGGCUUCACUGACUCUCGGGGCCCAGCACAUCCUGCCCCAGCUCCGACAUCCUCUCUUGCUCCUGCUGCUGUUCCUGGAAGCUGCUAAGACUGCUAGGGUGCUCCUGCCUCAGGGCCUUUGCAGUAGCCAGGUCCUCCUCCUGCAGAUUUGUGGCUUCCUCCUCACCCCUUCAAAUAUCUGCACAGAGAUCUGCCUCUUCUUGAGCCUUCUCUAACCUCGCUAUUUAAAAUCAUAGUGCCCCCACCACCACCUUUCUUUCUUUCCCCUGAUUUAUUUUUUCACUGCAUCUUCUGAGUUUUGGUUUGUAUUUUUCAUCUCUAGUCACCGAAUGCAAGCUCAAGCCUGUCAUCUCUUGGCUUGCUUUUUUUCCCAGUGCCUGGCACGGAUCAGGCAAAGGCAUUUGUUGAUUGGCAACAAAGUCAGGAUUACUGCUCUUAAACUUAAGCUCCUUUUAUUAUUUUGUUUGAGCAAAUGCCAACAUUUCCUCCCAGUAGAGCUUGUCUUACAUAAUUGCAGUUAAUUAUUCCAGUUAGCGUGGGAAGAGAGAUUCCCUCAGGGACACAGGGGAAAGAAGAAAAAUCCAGACAGUAGAUUUUGACACUUGUUUCUAAUGUCUCUGAAACUACAGGAAAAGAGAAGCUCUAUAGAGAGUGGGUUUGUCUUAAUAAGGCCAAGUGGAAGCCAGAGUGAUGGCCCAGGGAAGCCAGGCCUGAAUCAUAGAACUUGUGUCUGGGAGCAGCAGGCAGAGAAGGCAGACAUGGGACAAGCAGUGACCUCCCUCCUGUCUCCAUACCUGCCCCUCCUCUGGAGCCCUGUGGUCAGGACCCUCAGGGCUGCACUGGAUGCAGCUGCUCAGCUUGGGCUACUCCUAUGCUGCCUGAGUUGGAGUUUGGAUGGCUGUGGCACCAGAUGUCUUCUCUCUGUUUCCUGGGCUGUGGGCUACUGCCCCAGGCUGCACUGAGCCCUCUCUGCCUGUGUGGUCUCCUUAACCUGCAGGAACAGCCCCCAACUGCCAGGAGUUUGUUUGCAGAUUUGACUUCUGAAGUCCCCUCUCCUAAAAACAAAGGGUCUGAAGAUCAAAGUCAUCUGUGAAAGGUCGAAUAGAUUUAAUCAACUUCUUUAUUGCAGGUAUUUUAUGUGUUUUAUGCCUGUUUACGUGUACUGGUAUCUCCAUGAGAUGAUGUUUGAAUGCAGAAUACUUGCAAUAUGUUUGUUCAAGAAUCCUGGAAUCUUUAAUUAGGAGCGUCUCUGAACUCACAGAGCUUCACAGUAUAUAGCAUACAAGAGUUUAUAAAAUACCCUUUUGACUUUUCUCAUCCUCCAAGGGGCUGUUCUGGAUUUGGCCAUGAACAUAAAGAGUUUGGCACUUUGGAGGAAACUCAGAGCUGGAAAACACCUGUAGAGCACGUUUGCUCCAUAACACACCCUUGUUUUAAGGGAUUCUGUGUAUGUGCUGCAGGUGUGUGCAUGUGUGCGAGUGUGUAUGACUUUCCGUGUGUAUGUGUAAUUGUGACUGUGUGUGUACACAUGUGACUCUAUAGGUGUGUGAUUGCAUCGUGCAGUUAUGCAUGUGAUUCUGUACAGGUGGUCAUGUGUGGUCCUGGGGGAGUGUGAUUGUGUGUCCAUGACCAGUACAAGUGGCCAGGCAGCAGUCCCUGUGGGAGUCCACGAGGGGCUCCUCCUGUCCCUCCCUUGGAGCAGUGGCCCCAGGAGCACCUCCCUGCCUUUCUCUGGGGCACUGGGUUAGCAGCUGGGCUGUCAGAAGCACAUGUGUUUCCUCAGGGACCAUCACACCGGACACAGGCUCACUUUGCCUGAUACACUGCCAGCUCCAAGCACCCUCUGUCCUGAAACUCCAGGCCCGAGGGAGAGUAGGGUAUGCAUGGGCACCCUGUGCACUUCCAGAUCCUUCCCUUGGUUCUUACAUGGUGGGGACACUGUCUGCUUCCUCCCUGCUAUAGCCUCAGCCAUGUCACAGGGCUGGGUCAGCCAUCUGUGGAUUUAAUGAUUGCAUCCUUCAGCAAAAGUUAUAACAUGCUUUUUCCCCAUUGUGCAGUGGAGGAGACUGCAGCAACAAUCCCACGGUCAGAAUCACCGUGUGGGACUAGCAGGCCCCACUGAGACCCCUUGGCUGCCUAGCCCUGUCCAAGGUCCCAGCUCUCUAGGGAUCUCCCCUCCAUAAGAUAGGUAUGGUAAGCUCAGUCUGCCUCGAGGUCAUGUUGUCACUGGCAAGUGUGUACCUCCCUGUUUGGGGUCCAUGAAGAAAGGUGACAUUCACUGUGAUGUGUCAGCCUGACUGGAAUAAGAACAGCCUGGAAGUUUAGUAAAGCACAGCUCUGGGUGCAUCUGUGGAUGUUUGAAUUGAGGUCAGCAAACUGUGGGGGAGACUCAGGCCUGAUGUGGGUGGCACCAGCCAAUAAGCUUGUAGCCUGGAUUGAAUAAAAAGGGAAAGAAGCAGGAAGCAUGCCUGUUUUGAAGCACUACGGUCUUCCUAGUGGGUAUGUCCUUUGCUGUUUGGGGCCUCUGGUGGGUUCACAUAGGUGAAUCACAUCAGAGACCCUCACAGAUUUGGAGCAGGGCUCUGGUAUCAUCCAUAGACUGUCACACUUCCUUUAAGAAACAGCUCCUGGUCUGCUGCUGGCCCUUAGUGGAAACUGAAUGCUUGACCAUGGGAUGCCAUGUGACUGACCUGAGCUGCCCAUCAUGAGCUGGGUGCUCUGUGGCCCACCAGAUCAUAAAGUUGGAUGUCUACAGCAACAGCCCAUCAUUAAAUGGAAGUGGUAUAUAUGUGAUCGGGGUGAGCAGAUCAAGAAGGUAUAAGUAAGUUACAUGAAGAAGUUGCCUAAAUCCUUCUCUUAUUAUAUUUCCUUCUAUCUCCUAGCAUGCCCUUGUGGCCUCACGGGUGUACUGUAUGAUCGAUCAGCUGACAGAGGAAGAGAUAACUAGGGCCUAGCUUAUGGAUGGUUCUGCACAUUAUGCAGGCUGAACUAGAAAGUGGACAGCUGCAGCAUUACUGCCCCUGUCCAGGACAUCCCUGGACAGUGGAAAAGGGAAAUCUUUACAAUGGGCAGAACCUCAGGCAAUGCACCUGGUCACAUAUUUUGCUUGGAAGAAAAGUAGCAAGAUGUGCAACUGUAUGAUGCUUUGUGGGCUGUAGCCAGUGAUCUGGCUGGAUCUUGAGAACUUGGGGGAAGGAACAUGUAUUUGGGAAAUGACAAAUGCAUUUGGGAAAGAAGUAUCUACAACCCACAGUGCCUCACUGGCUACUGGUUCAGUCCUGAGGACUCUGUAAUGGGCUUCUGGCUGCAAUGGGCUUCAAGGGGUCCAUACCUCUUGUCUCAUUUUUACACCUCCAAGGAAUGAACAGAGGCUGCUCUUCAAGUAUAGACUGAGAAACACAAAGACCCCAAAUCCAUAAUACUCUAAAAUCUAAAAUUUGUUGAGCAUCAGCAGGACACCACAAGUGGAAAUUUCCACACUCUGAAACUUUGCUUCAUGUGUGAAAUUUAUAAGAAGUUUUAGGGUUUCCUUUGACACAGCAAUAACUUCAUGUUAAUUAUGUUAGUUUCAUAUGUUGGCUUUUAUAGGUAGAUUAAAUAUAAAUGGGAGAAAUGUUUAUAAUAGAUCAUUCACAUAUACUUGUCUCUACUAAGUGUAUUUUCAUCCAGGUAUAUAAAAAAGGGGUUAAGAUUGCUUUAUUCUUUGUUCCUCAUUAAGUAUAACAUUACUAAGAGUUAAAAUUCUAAUGUAUAAUUCUAUAAAAAGGGAUAUAUAUGUUUCUAUUUUAAAAGAACAUAUUUUAUCUUACUAAGGAAAAAAGUACCUUUUCCAAAUUCAGAAAUUUUGAAGUUUGUUUUAAAGGUAAAUUUAAAGAAUGAGGACAAGGCAGAAAGAAGAGGGAGAAGUAAAGGAUAUGGGUAAGAGAAUAUUUUUGGCAAGAAAAGAUCUGUGUGGUGAGAAGUUGAACUACCAGAAAUUAAGAAGAAAGAUGAGGACAAGAUCAGAAAGCUACUGUACAUCACAAAAAGUUUGUCAGUGAUAUUUGUGAGAGAAAAUUUCUAAGUAUGAUAAGGUUGCCUAUAAUUUCACAAACUUUAAAGAGUUUUUUUAAAUGCAAAAUUUCUAACAUUACUGUGAAAUCCAAUUCUAUGUUUAAAACAAUACUAUGUUAAAAUGUUGAUGCACUAAGUAAAAAUUUACAGAAAGUCGUCUAAGAAAAGGUUUCUGUUUAUCAAGAUAAUUUCUUCUGUUUUCUUCUCUUAGGUCUUUGAUUACCAAGGAAACUGAGUCUUAAUAGAGUCUGGAUUUAUUUAAAUGAUCAGUUUAUAACUGUGAUUAAAUGAACAUCUGUUAUUUUAGGUUACUGUAGUAUGCUUGACCAUUCCUAUGUCUGAGACUAGAACUGUAUAAUGCAAGGACUACCCAUGCUGUGAGAAUGUGCAAAGGUUGUGAAACUAAUGAUGCAUAAGUUUGAUGCAUAGUCAGUAACCAGUAUGUGCUGUCUCACACAACAUGCACAGCAUCUGCACCUUGAACUUAUGAAAUGGUCAGAAAAACCUAACAUUUCUGCUGCUAUCCAGGACCAUUGCAGGGGAGGGGGAGGUUCCAUGUAGACAACCUUGCUAUUUAAACUAUAGUCCAUGUCUACUGGAUGUAACUCAGUAAUUUAUUGCACAAAUGAGACACACUUGUAUAUCAGGUAAUAAGUCUAUUUGAGGCCAUUAACAAUGUUUCUACACUUCAUCUUAGCCAAAAGGCAGAGAAGCGAUUAUUAACAAUGUUUCUUAAUCUUGUAUGAGAUCCAGAGCCAUUCUCUGAUUUUUGCCACUAUGGUUAAACUUUGAAGAUGUCUCAAGCACCAAAUUUACAUGAUUAUAGCUAUAGUACUGAGCCAUCAAUUCUGAAUUUUGCCUUGAAAGUGAAAAGUUAAGUUGAUAUGUAAACAUUUCUAUGCAACAAUGCUGCUAAUUAUUACUUCUUUGUAUGUCAAAUGCUGUCACUCCCUCAGUGUGCAAGCCUUCUAAUUUUAUUAGAAUAAUUAGAUAUGGUUAAACACAGGAAUUCUAGGGCUGGGGAUUUAGCUCAGUGGUUCCACCAUCUGCCUCGCAAGCACAUGGUCCCAAGUUCAAUCCCCAUACCAAAAAAAACCAAAACCAAAAAAAAACCAAAACCAAACCACAGGUAUUCCAAAAUUGGUGACCUAAAAGACACAUUUGUAAGCAAAUAUAUUCUACUUAAAAGGACUCUAAUUCUGACACAACUAGAAUUAUGUUUCUUAAACUAUUAUGCUGUUUUGCUUUUAUUAUCUUUGUAUUGCAUUUUCCGUGUAAUAGUUUGCAAGUGUGGUCUGUUCACAUUCCUCAGGGUUAUGGCUUCUAACAGAAAAUGUGAACAGAAUUUUGGGAAGAUAGGCCAUUCCCUGUGAGAUGGAUGGGCUCUGACACAGACUCCUCACAGCUAAAAAGAAUUACAACAGGAUUACAGUUGCUGCCCCACAUGGAGAAUAGUAUAACUGACCUUGUUGGUGUUCAACAACUGAGGCUUGGAGACCAAAGCUAAGGGAGGUAAAAGGACAAAGAGGUCAGCCAAUAAUUUGGUCCUCCAAGGUCAUAACAGGUCCCCUCUGCCAGGCCCCUGAACCUGCAGUGAGUAACCCAACCUCCUGAGCAGGGGGAUUGUUGGGCUCCAGAGGACAGAAACGCUACGGUGUGCAUUGUGCUAAAGGAGGGUCACAACAGAGGGGAGUGUCCCCAUGCUUCCAAGGAAGCGAUAUGGUCACACAAGACCACAAUCCAUCUGGGCAGUUGACACAACCAGUAAGGAUCUGAGGGAACCAAAAGGCUCUGGUCUUCACAUGUCCCCAAAAGUAACCCCUGAGAAGCCUUGAGUGACCUUAACAGCAAAGGGAAGCUAGUUUGGUAGCAUACUCGGUCUCAAGCAAUCAAUGGGAAAGUAUAACCAGAGAGUGAAUUAGUUAUUAACAUUUUUAAAAAUUAGAGAGCUGGGGAUAUACCCAGUGAUGCCCAGCCUAUCUGGCAAGCGCAAGAUCUUGAGUUUGUUACCCAGUACUGCAAAAAGAGAGAGAGGGGGGAGAGGGAGAGGGAGAGGGAGAGAGAGAGAGAGAGAGAGAGAGAGAGAGAGAGAGAGAGAGAGAGAGAGAGACAGACAGAGGAGAGAGAGCUUUUGUCUCUUUCACUUUAAGAUUAAGGAGCAUAGGGCCGGGGAUUUAGCUCAGUGGUUCUGCUGCCUCACAAGCGCAAGGUCCCAAGUUCGAUCCUCGGUACCAAAAAAAAAAAAAAAAGAUUAAGGAGCAUAAACUCUCUCAGAGAGAAGAAAUACAG
Heterocephalus glaber (naked mole-rat) is the source of this 7313-nucleotide non-coding RNA. The record is from RefSeq and is a predicted model, not a curated record. Lineage: Eukaryota; Metazoa; Chordata; Mammalia; Rodentia; Bathyergidae.